Molecule: ribosomal RNA, 577 nt
Filed under: Penicillium tularense
Lineage: Eukaryota; Fungi; Ascomycota; Eurotiomycetes; Eurotiales; Aspergillaceae
Description: eukaryotic LSU rRNA
Rfam family: Eukaryotic large subunit ribosomal RNA
Source: RNAcentral
AAAGAAACCAACAGGGAUUGCCCCAGUAACGGCGAGUGAAGCGGCAAGAGCUCAAAUUUGAAAGCUGGCUCCUUCGGGGUCCGCAUUGUAAUUUGCAGAGGAUGCUUCGGGAGCGGUCCCCAUCUAAGUGCCCUGGAACGGGACGUCAUAGAGGGUGAGAAUCCCGUAUGGGAUGGGGUGUCCGCGCCCGUGUGAAGCUCCUUCGACGAGUCGAGUUGUUUGGGAAUGCAGCUCUAAAUGGGUGGUAAAUUUCAUCUAAAGCUAAAUAUUGGCCGGAGACCGAUAGCGCACAAGUAGAGUGAUCGAAAGAUGAAAAGCACUUUGAAAAGAGAGUUAAAAAGCACGUGAAAUUGUUGAAAGGGAAGCGCUUGCGACCAGACUCGCUCGCGGGGUUCAGCCGGCAUUCGUGCCGGUGUACUUCCCCGCGGGCGGGCCAGCGUCGGUUUGGGCGGUCGGUCAAAGGCCCUCGGAAGGUAACGCCCCCUCGGGGGCGUCUUAUAGCCGAGGGUCCAAUGCGACCUGCCAGGACCGAGGAAGGCGCUUCGGCUCGGACGCUGGCAUAAUGGUCGUAAGCGAC